GCUAAUUGCCGAGGUCCUCUUCUAGGAUUGGUUGUCCACUCAUAACCAUAAGAUAAUUAAAACGGGGGGGGGCAGGGUAAAAAAAAAACCCUUUUAUCAGCCAUAGGUUAAUGCAAGUGUUUAACAGAUGCUUCGCUAUUAAAAUAUUUCCCCCCAAUACUGAAGAAUCUUAAACCAGCAACCCUAACAGAGAUUGCGAAGAUUUUCAAAGUGGGGCACCUCGAUUUCUCGAAUCUGUGGUGUGGCGAAUAUCCGUGUUCCUCCUGCUUAACUAGCCUGUUUGAAGGCACAGUUCAUUCUCGAGCAAUUCGUCACCUCCUGGGGGUCUUCUCUUCCCGUCUACAGGAGAGUGUGACUUCAGAAAGAACUUCGGAUUGGCCAAGGCCAUUAAAGCUGGUGAGCGACUUGGAAGUCAUUUAGAAAGGAACAGACCUUCAACCUCAAGCCUUUGCGGGCACUGGGAAAGUGUCUUCCCAAUCAAUCUGGCUUGCAGGCGGCAGGACCAACUCUGACCUGGCUUAUCUUGUACCCAUCCUAAAUACACCAAACUCAAGAGGUAGCCAGGGCCGCCUCAACACCGAGGUCUGAUUCUAUUUAUUCUAAAGACAGAGUUGGAGAUGGGCUACCAUUGGUGUUGAUUGAGAUGACAAGCAGUCACCUGAGCCCAUACAGCUGGUAAGUAGAACAGUACUGGAGAGAUGGCUCAGCAGUUAAGAGCACUGACUGCUCUUCCAGAGAUCCUGAGUUCAAUUCCCAGCAACCACAUGGUGGCUCACAAACAUCUGUAAUGAGAUCAGGUGCCCUCUUCUGGUGCCUUUGAAGACAAAGACAGUGUAGUGUCAUAUAUAUAAAAUAAAUAAAUCUUUAGAAAUUUGAAAAUAA
Molecule: long non-coding RNA, 882 nt
Filed under: Mus musculus (house mouse)
Lineage: Eukaryota; Metazoa; Chordata; Mammalia; Rodentia; Muridae
Description: Hand2, opposite strand 1
Source: RNAcentral